AUGGAGGCGCUGCUGCUCGUGGUGUCCAACCCCGUUGACGUCCUCGCCGGCCUCGCCUUCAAGAUUUCAGAGUUGGGUUCCAGGCGAGCGGCGUCAUCUGCUCCGGUACCGACCUCGACGCCUCCUGGUUUUGGUUCCUCAUCAACGACCCCCCGCCAUCAACGCACAGGACGUGCAGGAUUCCCAGCCCACCCCAGCAUCCCCUUCAACCCGGAACCAGUUUACUGUUGCGCCUCUGCAACCUUACAGGUCGCCACAGUCUGUGCAACAGCUAGCAGCAGGGCCCAUUGUCGUUGCCGUGCAUCCCAGGUUCAUCUGCUUGCUGCUGUUGCCAUCGCUGAAACCAACCAGGAGUUAGUGGCUUCAAAGCACCAAAGUUGGUCGGACAAUCUGGUGCUUAUCUGCUGGGAUUUUGAAUUGAAUAUGUGUGGAAUUUCUGGUAGCUAUGUGGAUCUAUUGGCUCCGAAAACUGAUACCCCAGUGUCUACAAUUUGUGGCCAUGUAGGCUCAAGCGUCUCUCCUUCAUCAUGUAAAAUGUCAACUUGA
RNAcentral lists this ribosomal RNA (546 nucleotides) under Triticum aestivum (bread wheat). Its description in RNAcentral is "partial small subunit ribosomal RNA". Lineage: Eukaryota; Viridiplantae; Streptophyta; Magnoliopsida; Poales; Poaceae. The record is from RNAcentral.